Molecule: long non-coding RNA, 2445 nt
Organism: Amphiprion ocellaris (clown anemonefish)
Lineage: Eukaryota; Metazoa; Chordata; Actinopteri; Pomacentridae
Source: Ensembl
CAGACCAUAGAUAAUAUAGAAGACAGCGCGCUAGCGUAUCUAGUCUAUGUAUAUGUAUGGUCGCCACGUCUGGUAGCAUCUCUGGCUGAUGUUGAUCUUGUUUUUGGAGUAAAACACGGUGGAAGCUGAAUUAGUGAGGAUGACUCCUGCUCCUGUCAUCUCUAAGCUCCUCACACAUCUUUACCUGCACAUGAGGAAAAUCACUCCUGUAGAAUGCAGAUAUUCAGAGGGAGAUGAUGCCACAUCUGGUCCAGCUGAUGGAAGGUCUUGAAGUUCUCUGACUGGCCUCGACUGAAGAUGGUCGUCUCACUGGAUUUAAGGUUCAGAUGCUCGGUAACAAACUCCACCAAUGAGCCAACAAGGAAGCUUUAGGUUUAUUAAAUGUUGCUAUGAAGGUAUCGCUGUUUUUCUUUGUGAAUGCAAUGUGCUCCAACUGAAACUUGAAUUAGAACUUAGAAGUAAAUCCUUCCAUCUGAAAGGAUUUAGUUGCAUUAAUAACCUCAUAACAUUUUAAUUUUUAUUCCAGUCUUGGUUGGAAAUAGAAUCUCUGUAUUGAUUCAGGUAAAAACUGAACUUCACAGCAUGUUGGAGCAAAACAACCAGAUGAAAACUGUGAUGGUGUUGGAUUGUCAGACUGUAAUGUUGCAGCUCAAAGCAGCUUUUCUAUCUCAGUUCAUUCUGACAUUUAGCUAUGAAUCAACACAGCAGAUGGUGAUCCAUGCUGUGGAAGUCUCACAUCUCCUGAUUUAAUGGAGCUGCUUUGCACUUUUUACACUGUUUAUUCACCAACACUUUAUUUAAUAAAAGUCCCAUCUAGUUUUUAUGAGGAAUGUGAUGUUUUAAUUCCUCUGUGAAUAACUGCAGUCUAAUGCAACAGCUGGAGUUGUAACAUCUGUCCUGAUAUUGAUCAUGAAGUAUUGAUCAGAGUACUGAUGGUCAGCAGUCAUCCCUGAAGUUUUACAUUAAAAUCUUUACUUGUGUUGUGAACUUUGGUAAGAAGCAGAAACGUUAGCGUUGCCAUGGAUAUAUGAGUAUUAAAUUCUGUCCAUGUUUCCAUUUUGGGAAAUGCAGUCCAGUUCUAGAAUGUGGAGGAAUUUAGUCUCACAAUCACAGACAACAAAUAUUAUCUGAAAGUCAGGUUAUUAUUGUUUAUCAGCACAAUACAAAAAGAUUAAUGUUAGAAAUAUUCCAGUUAAGACUCUAGAAUAUCAUGAUUUAUGUAAAUUUACCUCAAUAAUAUGAAUGUUCAGGUUAAGAUUGUACAGUGAUAUUUAUUAUGUAAGUUUAGCUGAUUAAAGUUUAUGACUCUGCACUAAAAUAUUAUUUAAAUUGACAUCAUUAUUAUAAUAUUUAGGGUCAGACCCUACAGUAUUGGGAUUAAGAAAUCAAAUAUUCUAUAAAAUGUAAAUACACUGAACUCAUUUGGAUAUAUUUAAGUGAGACUCUACAAUAUUAUUUAUGACACAAAUCUAUCUAAAUAAAAAUUUUAAUCAUUUUUACUCCAAACAUUUACUGAACUGAUUUAAAUAUUAAAAUCACUCCUUUCUAAUCUUCUGCUGUACGUUCAAACCUGAGGCCUUAAAUAGAAACACACAAGUAUCUGAUUGAAGGAACUUCUGCAGAGUCCUGGUUCCAGAACAUGAUGAUAGAAUUAUAGACAAACUUUAACAAAAGCUGCCUGAGAGUUUACAAGUUUUUAUGUUAGAUUUCUUCAGUAAUUUAAUGAGUUAUCAGCAAUAAUCAAGUGUUCAUUUGAUGAACUUCAUUUCCUAAAACAUCCAGAAUUGGAGCUCAUAUCUUUGGCAGCUGUAAAGUUUCUGCUCCUUCAAAGUUCACAACACAAUGAAUGAAUUCCUAAAACACUCUCAAUGCUGGAGAGUGUUUGUGAUGCUGAAGCAGUGACCAGUUUUUCUGUUUCUUCUCUGGAGAUGCACAAUGAGGGACGUCUGCAGAGACUGAGAAAGAGUCUCACCACAUCCUGACAUGAGGAAAAAGACUUUAUUGAAGACUACAAUGAGAAAAACUAUCAGACAGCAGAUGGCUGCAUUCAAGUCUGUAGCUGCUGAAUUCAUGGAUGAAUCAUCUGGCACUAGAGAGGAAGACCAUCAAACAUCCAUGUCAGCUGAUGGAGGUCCAAGAGUCUCACCCAACAAACAACCUACAGAGUGAAGACCUCAAAUCUGAUUGGACGGCCUCCUAUUCAGCCACAUGUGUGAACAAAUGCCUCUAAGCUGAUUUGUUUUCUAAAAUAAAUCUAGUUUGAGUUCUAAUCUAUGCCUGUGUGUUUGCUUCUUUACACUGCUGUUAACAGUUUAGGCUGUUAGAUUGUUCCAGACAAGACAAGUAAAAGAUACUUCAGAGCCGUUCUACCACGAGCCUGACAGGAAGAACUCCAACAGCUACUGAAUGUUCCUGUGGUCCCCUCAAGGCUACAGGAGGAGUCCU